CAGAUCAGAAGGUGAUUGUGGCUUUUAGUAGAUAUUAAGCAGCCACAGCACUGCCUGGUCAGA
Molecule: microRNA precursor, 63 nt
Filed under: Xenopus tropicalis (tropical clawed frog)
Lineage: Eukaryota; Metazoa; Chordata; Amphibia; Anura; Pipidae
Description: Xtr-Mir-383-v2_pre stem-loop
Rfam family: mir-383 microRNA precursor family
Source: RNAcentral